AACGAACGCUGGCGGCAUGCCUAACACAUGCAAGUCGAACGAGACCUUCGGGUCUAGUGGCGCACGGGUGCGUACGCGUGGAAACCUGCCCUUAGGUUCGGAAUAACUCCCCGAAAGGGGUGCUAAUACCGGAUAAUGUCUUCGGACCAAAGAUUUAUCGCCUUUGGAUGGGCCCGCGUUGGAUUAGCUAGUUGGUAGGGUAAAAGCCUACCAAGGCGACGAUCCAUAGCUGGUCUGAGAGGAUGAUCAGCCACACUGGGACUGAGACACGGCCCAGACUCCUACGGGAGGCAGCAGUGGGGAAUAUUGGACAAUGGGCGAAAGCCUGAUCCAGCAAUGCCGCGUGAGUGAUGAAGGCCUUAGGGUUGUAAAGCUCUUUUACCCGGGAUGAUAAUGACAGUACCGGGAGAAUAAGCUCCGGCUAACUCCGUG
Molecule: ribosomal RNA, 432 nt
Filed under: uncultured bacterium
Lineage: Bacteria
Description: partial 16S ribosomal RNA
Rfam family: Bacterial small subunit ribosomal RNA
Source: RNAcentral